This 551-nucleotide ribosomal RNA is filed under the name uncultured archaeon. RNAcentral describes it as "bacterial SSU rRNA". It matches the Rfam family "Archaeal small subunit ribosomal RNA", at positions 326 to 877 of the family's 1478-position model. The record is from RNAcentral.
CGGGGUGCAGCAGGCGCGAAAACUUUACAAUGCUGGCAACAGCGAUAAGGGGACCUCGAGUGCCAGGAUACAAUCUUGGCUGUCGCGAUGCCUAAAAAGCAUUGCAUAGCAAGGGCCGGGCAAGACCGGUGCCAGCCGCCGCGGUAACACCGGCGGCUCGAGUGGUAACCGCUAUUAUUGGGUCUAAAGGGUCUGUAGCCGGCCGGAUAAGUCUUUUGGGAAAUCCAGCUGCUCAACAGUUGGGCUUUCAGAAGAUACUGUUCGGCUCGAGACCGGGAGAGGUGAGAGGUACUUCAGGGGUAGGGGUGAAAUCUUGUAAUCCUUGAAGGACCACCAGUGGCGAAGGCGUCUCACCAGAACGGAUCUGACGGCAAGGGACGAAAGCUAGGGGCACGAACCGGAUUAGAUACCCGGGUAGUCCUAGCCGUAAACGAUACUCGCUAGGUGUCAGCCACGGUGCGACCGUGGUUGGUGCCGUAGGGAAGCCGUGAAGCGAGCCACCUGGGAAGUACGGCCGCAAGGCUGAAACUUAAAGGAAUUGGCGGGGGAGC